CAGUCGCCGCGGUAACACGUAGGUGGCAAGCGUUAUCCGGAAUUAUUGGGCGUAAAGCGCGCGUAGGCGGUUUUUUAAGUCUGAUGUGAAAGCCCACGGCUCAACCGUGGAGGGUCAUUGGAAACUGGAAAACUUGAGUGCAGAAGAGGAGAGUGGAAUUCCACGUGUAGCGGUGAAAUGCGUAGAGAUGUGGAGGAACACCAGUGGCGAAGGCGACUCUCUGGUCUGUAACUGACGCUGAGGAGCGAAAGCGUGGGGAGCGAACAGGAUUAGAUACCCCGGUAGUCCCUGUCUCUUAUAC
Molecule: ribosomal RNA, 301 nt
Filed under: uncultured bacterium
Lineage: Bacteria
Description: partial 16S ribosomal RNA
Rfam family: Bacterial small subunit ribosomal RNA
Source: RNAcentral